This is a long non-coding RNA of Alligator mississippiensis (American alligator), 10159 nucleotides long. RefSeq lists it as uncharacterized. The transcript is spliced from 2 exons. The record is from RefSeq and is a predicted model, not a curated record. Lineage: Eukaryota; Metazoa; Chordata; Crocodylia; Alligatoridae.
CACAUUUUGGUCUGUUCCUUGGGCAAGCAUGGGGGGAAACUUAGGGUUUUGGGGGUUCCCCAUGGAUAGGUUUGUGACAGAGUAUGAGGGGGUCUGUGAGAAAUGUUUCUAGUUUACAGUAGUCUGUUGAUCCACCGCUAUUACAGGAUCAAAUUGCAGUUGCAUAGAAAAAUGUCUAAGGAUGGUUCCACUGAAGUAUAGCAGCUUUUUAAUUGUCUUGAUACCACUGAAAUCACUUUGCUGAUGGUAACAACAGUAGGAAGUUACAGGCUUUUUAAAGGAUUAGCAUAUACUAGAUAUAUAUCAAACAAGACACCCUAAUACUACAUGGUCUGAUGCACCAUGUUUGGGUUUAAUUGGUACCUGAGAGCUUCCUUUCAAUUAUGCUAUGUAAUUAUUUUGUAUUUACCAAUGAGGAUCAGUCUGACACUUACCAAUGCUAACAUCACCGUUUCCUUCCUCUGAAGAAAGUUCAGGGACUGGAGACAGGCCUGUUGAGAGUCUCUGGGUUAGAGUCAGAGGGGAGAGCAACAAGGGGGAUGUGGUGCUGGGGGUCUGCUACAGACCACCAGACCAGGAGUAAGUGGUGGAUGAAACUUUCUUCAGACAUCUACUGGAAGCUUCCCAAUCACAGGCCCUGACUCUCAUGGGGGACUUCAAUCACCCUGACAUCUGCUGGGAGGGCAAUACAGCAGUGCACAGGCAAUCAAAGUUUUUGGAGACUACUGGGGACACCUUCCUGGUGCAAAUGCUGGAGCAGCCAACUAGGAGCCAUGCUCUUUUUGACCUGCUGCUCACAAACAGAAGAAUUGGUGGGGAAUGCAGUAGUGGAUGGCAACUUGGGCAGCAGUGACCACAAGAUGAUUGAGUUCAGGAUCUGAGGAAAGGAAGGAUGGAGAGCAGCAGAGUAAGGACCUUGGACUUUGGAAAAGCAGACUGACUCACUUGGGGAACUCAUGGGCAGGGUCCCCUGGGAAACCAGUCUGAGGGGGAGAGGGGUCCAGGAGAGCUGGCUGUACUUGAUAGAAGCCUUACUGGGAGGCUAGGAACAAACUAUCCCGAUGUGCAGGAAGACUAGUAAGUAUGGCAGAAGACCAGCUUGACUUAAACGUUUCAGUAAACUAAAUCACAGGAAGCUUAUAAAAAGUGGAAACUUGACGAAAUAACUAGGGAAGAAUAUAAAACCAUGGUUUGGGCAUGCAGGGAUGAAGUCAGGAAGGCCAAACUGCAAUUGGGAGUUGCCGCUAGCAGGGGAUGCAAAGGGGAACAAGAAGGGUUUCUACAAGUAUGUCGGUAGCAAGAGGAGGAUCAGGGAAAGAGUGGGUCUCUUACUGAAUGGGGGAGGCAACCUGGUGACAGAGGAUGCAGAAAAGGCUGAAGUGCUCAAUGCAUUUUUUUGCCUCAGUCUUCACAGGCAAGGUCAGCUCCCAGACUACUGCACUGGGCAGCACCGUCUGGGGAGGAGCUGAGCAGCUCCCAGUGGUGAAAGAAGAGGUUAGGGUAAACUUAGAAAAGCUGGACAUGUACAAAUCCAUGGGGCCGGAUGGGAUGCACCCGCAGGUGCUGAGGGAGUUGGCUGAUGUGAUUGCAGAGUCAUUGGCCAUCAUCUUUGAAAACUCAUGGCAAUCGGGAGAGGUCCCAGAUGAUUGGAAAAGGGCAAACAUAGUACCCAUAUUUAAGAAAGGGAAAAAGGAGGAUCCAGAGAACUACAUACCAGUCAGCCUCACCUCAGUCCCUGGAAAAAUCAUGGAGCAGAUCCUCAAGGAAUCCAUUUCUAAGCACUUGGAGGAGAAGAAGGUGAUUAGGAACAAACAGCAUGCAUUCACCAGGGGCAAGGCAUGCCCGACCAACCUGAGUGCCUUCUAUGAUGAGAUGACUGGCUCUGUGGAUGUAGGGAGACCAGUAGAUGUGGUGUAUCUCGAUUUUAGAUAGGCUUUAGAUGUGGUCUCCCACAGCAUCCUCACAGGCAAGCUAAGGAAGUAUGGGCUGAAUGGAUAGACUGUAAGGUGGAUAGAAAACUGCCUGGCGCAUCGGGGUCAGAGAGUAGUAAUCAAUGGCUCCAUGUCUAGUUGGCAGCUGGUAUCAAGUGAAGUGCCCCAGGGGUUGGUCCUGGGGCUGGUUUUGUUUAAUGUCUUCAUCAACCACCUGGAAGAUGGCAUAGAGUGCAUCCUCAGUUUGCAGAUGACACCAAGCUGGGGGGAAUAAUAGAUACACUGGAGGGUAGGGCUAGUAUUCAGAGUGACCUAGGCAAAUUGGAGGAUUGGGCUAAAAGAAAUCUGAUGAGGUUCAACAAGGACAAGUGCAAAGUCCUGCACUUAGGAUGGAGCAAUCCCAUGCACCGGUACAAGCUGGGGCUGACUGGCUGGGCAGCAGCUCUGCAGAAAAGGACCUGAGGGUGACAGUGGACAAUAAGCUGAACAGGAGCCAGCAGUGUGCCUUUGUUGCCAAGAAGGCUAAUGGCAUCCUGGGCUGCAUUGGUAGGAACAUUGCCAGCAGAUAAAGGGAAGUAAUUCUUCUCCUCCUUUCAGCAUGGGUGAGCCCACAUCUGGAGUGCUGUGUUCAGUUUUGGACCCCCCACUACAGAAGGGACGUGGACAAAUGGGAGAGAGUCCAGCAGAGGGCAACAGAAAUGGUGAGGGGGUUGGGGAACAUGACUAAAGAGGAAUGACUGAGGGAACUGACCUUAUUUAGAGAAGAGAAGACUAAGGGGCUUUUUAAUAGCUUUCAACUACCUGAAGGGGCGUUCAAAAGAGGAUGGAGCUGGACUGUUCUCAGUGGUGGCAGAUGACAGGACAAGGAGCAAUGGGCUCCAGUUGCAGGAAGGGAAGUUGAGGUUAGAUAUUAGGAAGAAUUUUCUCACUAGGAGGGUAGUAAAACACUGGAACAGGUUACCCAGAGAGGCGGUGGAAGCUCCAUCCUUGGAGGUUUCCAAAACCUGGGUAGACAAAGCUUUGGCUGGGAUGAUGUAGUUGGGGCUGGUCCUGCUUUGAGCAGGGUGUUGGAUUAGAUGUGACCUCCAGAGGUCCCUUCCAGCCCUCACUUUCUAUGAUUCUGUGACCCAACCAUUGCCUUUCAGUUUUGCUUCAUAGCUCUACAGUAAUCAUGGUCUGACUUGUGUGCAUGUCUUUCAAGAAAUGCCUCCGGUAGUGCUGAGGAGACUCUUGCUGGUUUAAGUAGCCUACAAUUUACCUUUAUUACUGAUUGUCUUGACCUGCUGAAGUCACCAUAAACCUGGAGAGGCAAGAAACAAAUACUGACAAAUCCAUAAUGGAAUAUACAAAAAAGAUUUUUUUUAAAAGGGAUCACUUCCAUUUUUCUUGUUCCAAAAUACCACAAUGGUUCGUGUGCUGAAAAAUAUCAGAGGGCAACAGAUGCUUGUUUGUAUUAUAGUAGCGCACAUGAACCUCUACCAGGUUCGUUUAGUACUCGACUGCAGACAUGUUGAAGGGUCAGGAAGGGGCAGCAAGUAUAAGAAAUAGACAAGCCAGGUUGUGGUUGGCUUGGCAGAUUGAAAUAACACAAAGUAGAGGUGUGUAAUGUUAGGUCACACUUUUUCUAAUCAAUGUCCAUUGACUGCUUAAAAAGAAAUAAUUAAAGAAAGCCUCUGAAUUAUUUAGCUCCUUUUUUCACUACAGAUGUUCAAACUAACAGACAAAUAUGUACUGAAACCAUUGUGAUUAUAAAGGAAAAUUAGGGUAACUAAUUUGCCAAAACUGAUACACCAAGUUCCACCAUAAUGUGAUUUUUAAACCAGACAACUCAUGAACCCAAUUAUUGGGGAUUAGACUAGAAAUGCUUACUGAAUCUUAACUAGAGUUGGAAUUUGGAGGAGACAGAGAGACAGAGAGAGAAUGAGAAUUAAAAUGACCUAUCUUGUUUCUGCUUAAUUACAGAAAAAGGAAAUGAUGCAGAAACUUUAAAUAGUGAAAAAAAUCAUUAGGUUUCUACAGCCUGUGUCUAAGCAUAUAUUUAAAUGGGCUUUAUGUUUCAGUAUGGUAUUUAAAAUGUAAUUAAAAUAUUAAAUAUAUGUUUGCUUAAUUUUUUAAAACAAACUUUUUUUUUCUCAAGGCUUUUCUGGGAAGAGAUUUUUUUUAAAGUUCCAAAAGGGCUGUUGUGUGUGGCUGGUAUCUUUCAUUGGACCAACCGAAUGGUUGGGUUAGACUCAGACGAACUUUCAAAAGUCCGUGCCAACCAUACAGUUGCUCCAGUAAAAAGUAUCGCCCAUAGAAAUCCUUGCCAUUCAAGUUUGAAUGGUGUAUGUGUUCAAAGUAAACAUCAGUCAUUAGAUCACUGAUAUCUCCAGUUCUCUGGCCCAGGUGAGGUUUAUAUGCUACUUAAAAUACAAACUAUACUCAAGAAAAGGGAAUACAUCCAGCUUGGUGUAGGUUCUUAUGCUUUUUUUCCCCACUACGAAGUAGGUUUUUACAUUGCUGUAUGCAGGUUUAUGUUCCUUAUCACCCAGGGCAGGGCUGUCUAACUUCUUAGCAGCCAGGGGCCUCACCAGCAGGUCCCUUGGCACCAUGGAGGUAUACAGCUCCCCCCCACCACUGCAUGGUGCAUGGAGGUCUUCCCCUGCUGCCUGGGUGGGUGGCUGCCCUGCCUAACUGCAGUAUCGCACGAGUGGGUGCUCCUUCUCACCACCUCCUUGGCUGCAGGCUCCCCCAGUGCAUCAAGCCAUGGCCAGGAGUAGGGGCAGGAAGUGAAAGCUGGAGGAGGGAGGAGAAGCCUGGAGACCCCGCAGCAGCCAAAGCAAUGAGUGGAGCAGUCGCUAGUGAGAUUGUUCACUGCAUGUCUGUACAUAGCAUGUAGAGCUGUCACACAAGCCCCAUCCCCUGCUUUUAAAGGUCAUAAUUAAGGUUCCACAGUGAAGCACUCAAAUGUUAGGAGGUGGCAGAAUGAACAGCCCCAGUCUGAUUCAGCACACAAUAUGGCUUACGCUUUUUGUGCAAGCAGAUCUUCAGUAUUCUGCUUUGCCCUCAUUCAGUGUGUAGCCCCAUGCCUUAUGUAUUACACAUGCUCAGUGCCUGCUUUGAAUACAGAAUUAUCAAUUUCCUCAACAGGUUGUUUUAUUUUUGUGUGGUGUUCAUCUCUAUAGCAUAGGAAUACUUCACAGGCAUUAAUUAAUUUAUCUUCAAAAAGCCUCCAAGAUGAGGAGCUAUUACCGUCUCCACAGUGUAGAUAUGGAACUGAGCCACAGAGCCGUUCAUUUCAAAUGUCUGCUGAUAUUUGAAUGUCCAGCUUGAGACGCCUGUGGCCCAAAUCCUGCCUGCCACAGGAAUACUUUGAGUUCAAUAGCACUUUAUUUGUCAAGACCACUGCGCCUAUUAUUUUGGCCAAUUGAAUACCACCCAGAAGAACUGACCAAAUUUGGUCAUGAUUGUUGCUUCUUGGGCACUCAGAACAUGGCAAUGAGUGGCGUCCAUACAAUGCUUGGUUCACAUGAGAUGUCUGGCUUCGCACUGGAUCUCUGGAGGACAAGAAGAGAUGAGAAUUCAGUCCUUCAGGGUGGUAUUCAAGCUUGCUGUCUAUGAACUUCACAUCCCAGUUCCUUCUUUUCAUACCAUUGCUUCAAACCUGACCCUUGUGUCAGUCUCCCUCGAUUCCUUUUUUUUUUUUUUUUCCUCCCUCCCUUCCUCAGAUGCAGAAGUCCUCGGAGAUAAGGAGAGGCUGGUUUCCUGUUCCCAGUCCAUGUGCCUGGUGCCAUAACUGUUGGCUGGCAAGAGAAACAAGUGCAAGAAGAAUAACAAAAGGUGCAUCCCCGACGCAGCUCCCAGGCAAAUUGCAAAUUCCUACUUCAAAAAGAUGGAGGUCCUUAAGACUCAUAGUGGGUAUAGUGUUUUUUCCCUUUUUUUUAAACCCUACAUUUUUCUUUUCCUUCCAUCUUGUUCUGAGAAAUACUUGUAUGAUUUUUACUGAAAUAAUAAAAAUUACAGAAAAUUCCAUUAUGAAUGACUUAUGUUUUGGGAAAGUUAUAAGCAGCUGAAAAUAUGGGUCUUCUGGGAAGUGUUGGGUAUCCUGAACCAGCAUAGCUGCCUGCCUCUAUGUGCUGCCUUUAUUGACUAAUCUUGCAAGGCUGAAUUUGUAACCAGGAACUGCAGUUUGUUGUGGGAUUAUUUUGUUUCAGAGCAGCACAACCACCUCUGUGUAGAUGUGAUCGAUGUUAGAAUAACAUUGAAAUGUCUGGCAUUGUGUACGGUGUAGCUGUGGACUAGUAGGGGGCCAGAGCAAAUGUUAAUGUGAGAAGAGCAUUCAAAUAGAACAAACGAGGAGAAAAACAGGUUGGUUAAUACAGAACAAUGAUAUGCGUGCUCUUAAAUAGUUUUUUCUCUUCUGUCCCAGAAGCAAAUGCAGCUGAGGAUCUGAGUAUGAAACAAGUAUGAUUUGAGGCCAAAUCAAGUGGCCAGCAUAACACAUUUUACUUUGAAAACCUGUUAAAUAAGGUAUAACAUGAGCAAUUUGCACAUCCUUGAGGUGCACAUUUCUAUACUUAAGUCAUUGUUAAAUUCCCCUUGAUCAAUCCCAUUUUUUAUCUACUCUGAUGGGGGUGGGGGCGGUAUGUGUUUGUACACAGAUAUAUACAAACUAUCGCUGCUUGAUUUUGAUGCAUCAUAGAAAGGUGAGUUGAAAGAAAAGACUUGUAUUAUCUCGUUUGCAGAAAAUUCAUUAAUAAGGACAACCUAAAAUGUUUGCCUGUCAUGACUAAAUGUGUAGCUGUGUUGUUCAUAGCAACCAUGCCAUUUUACUUCUGAUUUACAAGGUGAUUUGUAUGUAAAUAGCCUUUACUAAACUCUAGGCUCAGUAUGGUUUUGUGGAAGAAGAUGUAUAUGUGCAUUGGGAACAAACCAAGUCUUGACUAUUAGCAUAUCGCACUGGAUUUUUUUCCCUAUUGAAUGUGUCUGGGCUUUAUUUAUUAGUGCAUCACUGAACGUCAUUUCCCGCAGACCAUGUUUAAAAUGUCAGAGAGGAAUAAAAUCACCAUUAAAAAACAUAGUUCUGCCAAGUGAAGGAUAAAGACUUGAUUGGGAUGCCAAUAGCCAUCAUUUUCCAAGGUCCAGCUUCAUUAUUUGGGUGAAAUUGUAGUCUUAUUGAAGUCAAUGUCAAUAGGGCCUGGCUCUUAUGUGACAAUAUUUUUUUUCUCUAUCUCAUCAUGCUUGCUUGGUCUCUUGCACUUCUGCCUUGAUAUACUUAUUAUUGUUGAUGUAGCCCAUUUAGGCAUGCACCCCACUGUGCCAGGUCUGUAUUUGAUUUAGUUCACUGUUUUACCCAGGAGCUAAACAUUAAGCAUUUGCCUGCUUUAGUGGAACCUCCAUCUUGAAGAGUAGGAAGGUUUAUAGAUACUUUUAGUAUCCCACUACUGAAUGGCUUAUGUCAGAUAACUGAGUUCAAGCAGUACUGGUGAUACAAAGAGCAUUCAUUUCAAACACAGCGUAUUUGGGUGUCAUUCAAAAACGCAGCUGAAUAGAUGGAGAAGUACACUGCUCUCUGAAAAUAACUUAGAAAGCUGACAAACUUAUUCAGUGGUUUACAAACACCGCUACUAGCCGAAUGUUCACAAAGUGUCCAUCUGAGACCAUUAUUUCUGAUCGGGUACUUUGUAUGAAUAAAGUAGCUUCUGUAUUCAUUCCAAUGCUCUGUUCUGCUGCCAUUCUUAAUCUCUCACCAUCAUUGCUUGUUGCUCCUUGUCUUCUCUUUUCUUUUCUUUCUUUAAAGAAAGGCAAAACAAAUAUCUAUUGAAGAGGACUGAAAAUCCAUAUUGGCAGAGAAUUUAACCCCAGAUAGUAAACCCAAAAGGACACACAGUUUCAUGUUAUUUGCCUGUGUUAAUGAGAAUAAGAAACCUUGGGGUUCAAAAAAUAGAAACUGUUUGUAUUUCAUCAGUGACAAAACAGUCAUUUCUUGAUAUCCCAAAAUAAUUUCUACUCACUGGCUUUGUUCCAGUGUAAAUCUUUUAAGUGAAGUCUGGCCUUGAUUGACGUCAGUGGGAGCUUUGACAUUGAGUUCAGUGGGGACAGCAUUUCACCCCCUGUCAUCAGUGGAAUUACUCUUGGCUCGCAUCUUUGUUACUGUGCUCGCCUGGCUUUGAACGCUUGCUCGCAUGCCGCCUUGGCCCGGACAGUAGAGGGUGUACGCUCUCUGGCUUCAUGGGUUCCCCGAGGUAGGCUUUGGUUGUCCCUCUGGCCUUCCUCAAAUUCACCUGCCAUGUCUUUGGGUGUUCUGUCAGUGUGGGGCUCAGCCUCAAAGUUCCCCUCAGGGAUGACCACUCCCCUUGCGGGAUGUUCAUCAGGAUUAGAGCUUGAGAUUGCCUGGUCUUAACUCCUCCUGCUUCUGUAGUUGUAUUAGGAUACAAGCCCUGAUGCUCAGUCACCUACCUUGUACUCCUGCAUUGGUACAGCUAAACUGGAACCUGGGUCCAGUUUGCAGGUAUUUCAAUCAUGUACUGAGAUCCCUGUGUGGUGCAAAGUGUCUGCAGCACAGCUGUGGUUACCUUGAGCUCUUGCAAUCCCUCACUCUCUUUGGAAACUAGCUUAAUGUUAAACCUCCUUUCUGAGAAGAGAGAUGCCUCUAGUAGGCAAGGAAGAAUCCAGGCUGAAUGUAGGUAGGUGGCUAAGUCGAUAUGAGCUAAGCAAAUGUAAUAUUCAAGUCCCUUGAUGCUGUUUUAGAAUCAUAGAAUUAUUUUCUUCACCACACUGUACUUCAAAGUAAGAGCUAUGCCUUUGGGAGUGAGCAUUCAGCUCCAGAAGGGAGCAUCAGCAGUUAAUCCUAUUUCCCUAGGUGUAGGCCUCAGAAGCAGUCAAUGACUGCAAAACCAUGAUGACAAAUGCCAACUCUGCACCUAGCAUAAGCCUAAAUUACAACAGUAUGUGUUUAAGUUUGCAUUUUAGCUAUAAGCAGUAGCAAGAGAAAGUAGAGUCACAUCUGUUGGUCCAUGCCACUAGUAUUGGGCCAGGGUAGGUGCAAGUAAUUGCUUUUAGAACAACACUAGUAGUAACGGGCUGCAAUAACUUUUGUUUCAUCAUUUGAUGAGGAGAAUUGAAUCACGUGUAAUGUAUUUUUGUUGACUGAGCAUGGUUAGGUGAAAAUGUAUAACCCUGUGUUGCCAGCACUGAUCAUUUUCAAGGGGCCUCUGGCAAGCUACAAAGUGUGGCUAAAGCAGGAGGCCCCCAAGGCCUGUUUCUGAGUAACCUCAAAAUGAACCUCUGCAGAGGUGACCACGAGCUUGGUCACUGAAAGAAAGGAAGCAAUUAACACAUGCAGAUUAAACAGAGCACAAGGCCAGAAAGAAGGCAUUAUAAAAGGCAAGCCUUAAAUUAGAUAAGCAAAAGCUACAAUAUACUGAUAGUAUGUUUCAGUUAUAUUAAUGAUUAGUGUUACCAAAUAUAUUGAAUACAGUUUUGUAAUAGAUAUUUGUCUUAAAUUUCUUAAAGUUAUAGAAACAAAGUGGCCUUGUCAAUGGAGGCUAUAAAUAAGCUGGAAGGGAAACAGGAUGGUGUCAAGCAGCAUUCCACAAUGGUGAAGGGAAGGAGAUAAGAAAUCCUCCCUUCUAGUAGUAACCUUCACAAGAACAAAAAUUCAAACUAAUUGACGCCUUGCAAACCCAGAAGAGAACUGGUUCAGUUCAGCUACAGAGGUUUCAGUGAAACAAAGACAUUUGAAUAAAAUGAAUCACAGAACAAUUAUUAGAAUAACCCAACUAUAAGUAUAGGAUAUAGGCCAGAGCGAAGAAUAGGGAAACUCCCAGAGGGACAAACUUCCAGCUCCCUCUGUGCAAAAAUGAAGUUUAUUUCCUACUUAUGGGGAUUUUUUAGCAUCUUGUACCAUCUACACUUUUCCCAGAGCCUGACGAAGGGACUUUGAUCCCGAAAGCUUGCAGAAAAGGACAAUUUUCUUGCCAUUUUCCAGUUGGUCUAAUAAACGGUAUCAUUUUGGAACCAAGAGUUCUAGUUUUUUGUAUGUCUAGGGAAACUCCACACACUCAAGAAGACCUGUUGCCAGUCUGUGAGGCACCUUCUAAACACCCCCUUCCUCUUCUCUCCUUGCCCACCUCUAUCUGGUGAGAGUGUAUAUUAUGCUGUAUUAUUUUGUAAGGUAGCUAGAUGAGCAUUGGAAUAAGUGUUUGUUCUUGCAUUUUUGGGGUAUGAUAAUAAAAGAUCAGGCUGUA